Molecule: long non-coding RNA, 216 nt
Filed under: Elaeis guineensis (African oil palm)
Lineage: Eukaryota; Viridiplantae; Streptophyta; Magnoliopsida; Arecales; Arecaceae
Description: long non-coding RNA (EGUI_LNC025537)
Source: RNAcentral
CAGGGGUAAAAUGGUAAUUUUAAAACUUUUUCAAAAUUACUAUUUUACAGUGAAAAUUAUUAAUUAAUCUAAUUAAUUAAUAAAAAUUUAUCCUACACUAGGAUGUAAAUAUGAUAUAUAGCAUGCAUGCAUUUUAAAUUUGAAAUUCGAAUUUGAACAGUAAACACUUUACUGUAAUGUGUUCAGAAUACAAUACCUUUGUGCGGGUAGUAGAUC